GACGAACGCUGGCGGCGUGCUUAACACAUGCAAGUCGAACGGAAAGGCCCUGCUUGCAGGGUACUCGAGUGGCGAACGGGUGAGUAACACGUGGGUGAUCUGCCCUGCACUUCGGGAUAAGCCUGGGAAACUGGGUCUAAUACCGGAUAGGAGCCAUUUUUAGUGUGAUGGUUGGAAAGUUUUUUCGGUGUAGGAUGAGCUCGCGGCCUAUCAGCUUGUUGGUGGGGUAAUGGCCUACCAAGGCGGCGACGGGUAGCCGGCCUGAGAGGGUGGACGGCCAUAUUGGGACUGAGAUACGGCCCAGACUCCUACGGGAGGCAGCAGUGGGGAAUAUUGCACAAUGGGCGCAAGCCUGAUGCAGCGACGCCGCGUGGGGGAUGACGGCCUUCGGGUUGUAAACUCCUUUCGCUAGGGACGAAGCUUUUUGUGACGGUACCUAGAGAAGAAGCACCGGCUAACUACGUG
Molecule: ribosomal RNA, 465 nt
Filed under: uncultured bacterium
Lineage: Bacteria
Description: partial 16S ribosomal RNA
Rfam family: Bacterial small subunit ribosomal RNA
Source: RNAcentral